This 280-nucleotide long non-coding RNA is filed under the name Brassica napus (rape). Its description in RNAcentral is "long non-coding RNA (BNAP_LNC014780)". The record is from RNAcentral. Lineage: Eukaryota; Viridiplantae; Streptophyta; Magnoliopsida; Brassicales; Brassicaceae.
GAGAGGAUAUGCAUAUUUAUAGAAAAAUUUCGAAAUAUGGUAGGUGGGAAUGUUACAACAAGUUUAUAACAACAUAAGAUUUACAAUGGUUUACGACUACAUUACGGCCAGUUUUCCUUUUUUUCAACCAUCCAUACACGCAUAAUACAUGUUUUCACCAACCAUCUAUAUUUAAUCUUAUUUUAGCCGUAACUUUGUUGAAAUAUGUGGAUGUAACGUAGUCGUAAAUUAACAAAUACAUUACGGCGACAUGCGGCAGUCAUCUUUAAAUAGUCGUAAC